UUUUUUUUUUUUGUGCUUUUUUGGUGUAGUUAUAUUCAAAGGCGAAUUUAGGUUCCGUUUGGACAUGGUUUGAAAUCAGAUUGAUUUGUAGCUGAAGUUUUGUUUGAAUAUAUGCAAACUAUAGUUCAUAAACAAGAUAUUAGAGAUAAAUUGAAUAUAUCCAUAUUUCUUAUAUAAUAGGGCCACAAAGGUUAAUCCAAGGGCAUUUUGUGGCCAAAAAGUAAACGAAGGGUAUAUUUGUAUUAGACCCUUCUCCAUAUAAAUGAAUAUAUGCGAUGUUCUUAAUUUAAUUUUGUACAUGUUUAGUAGUGAAUUUUUUUUUUAUCACAAAUAAAAAGUUUAGACUAAAACUAUUGAACGAGUAUAUUAUGUUCAAACCUACAUUCGACAUGGGCUAUAUAGUAAUUGGUAAGCAAAAGACAUUACACUGGUAUUUGCACUUGAUAAUUUUGAGUCAUUACAAUUUACAAGCUGAGGUUUUCCUAAUAUAUGUAAUUCUCAUUUGUCUUCUUCUCAUCAAGGGCGGAGCUAGUACCAUUGAAAAAUCACAGUGUAAAUAUACAAGGAAGAAUUUCCUGUUUGACAUUAAGAUUUUUUUUCUAACUGUAGUGGUUACGGCUUAAUGAGAUUUCAAAAGUUGUUUUAGGUCCCAAAUAUGAAUUUCCUGACUCCGCAACUGCUUGUAUAGCUUGUUUGGAACAACCAAAGGAAGAAUCGCCAAAACUGUAACUUUAGUAAUACUAUUAUGUAUCAUAUAGUGCCAUGAUUUGCUAGAAUAACUGCUAUUCUAUUUUGCUAUCUAAAGAUGUGGUUAAUUGUUGGAUAUCCAGGUUACCCUUCUACAACUGUGGUGUUGCGCGAAUGUGAAGCUAAGUUGUUGUCAUUUGUAUUUCAUGAAUAUGGCAAGGGGGUGACAUUUUAUGAACGAGUAAAGAAGGGAAUGACACGAUGUGACGCAAUAGCUAUGAAAACAUGUAGAGAGAUUGAAGGAAAUUUUUGUGACUACAUCUCAACACAAUUUGAAAAGCCAGUCCUUUACACCGGACCUGUUAUUUCUGAGCCGAAAAAGGAGCCUUUAGAAGAACACGGAAUAUCGAAUUGGCUUGAGAAAUUCGAGCCAAGAUCAGUAGUGUUCUGUGCAUUUGGGAGUCAAUUGAUUCUUGAAAAGAAGCAGUUUCAAGAACUUGUUUUAGGCUUUGAACUGACUGAGUUACCAUUUCUUUUAGUUGUUAAGCCACCUCAAGGGACAAAUUCAGUAGAAGAAGCCUUACCAGAGGGAUUCAAAGAAAGGGUUCAAGAAAAGGGAUUGAUUCUUGAUUGUUGGGUGCCACAAUUGGAGAUUUUAAGACACAAAUCAGUUGGUUGUUUCGUAACUCACUGUGGUUAUGGGUCGAUGUGGGAGUCUUUGGCACUGUGUGAUUGUCAAUUGGUACUUUUGCCAAGGCCUAUUGAUCACAUUUUUAAUGCUAGGCUGAUGGAAAAACAACUUAAGGUUGGUGUAGAAGUGGAGAAAGACGAAAAUGAUUUGUUUACUAAGGAGAAUUUGUUCAAGGCUGUGAAAUGUGUGAUGGAUAAAGAUAGCCAAAUCGGUUGUCUUGUGAAAAAGAAUCAUAUGAAAUAGAAGGAACUUCUUUCAAGUCCUGGCUUCAUGAGUAACUACAUCGAUAACUUCAUUCAAGACUUGCAUGCACUUCUAGUUGAAAAGACCUAGAUAAUUAGCAGGGGUGGAUCUACGACAGACAAAAUCCAAUGUAUGUCUAAUCUAUUCAAUCAAUUGUUAUCCUAUUUUGAUAUUCAGAACUCAUAAGCUUAAAAUCGUGUAUCGAAUGUAACUUGCAUUUAUCAGAUACUUUCCUGCAGUGUUUAGGAGUUAUACAUCUUCUUUUCAAAUUUAGAGCUUUUUUUAUUAACAUUUUUAGAUCCUUCAAAUGCAUUUAUGAACCCUCAAAGAUAUACUGCAUAACUGAAGCUAAUAAUAUAAAUACGAAUUCAAGAAUAAAUACAUAAUAUCUGAUUCAUUCACAAUUUAAUACAAGAUUAUUCUUUUCAAUGAUAUGUGGGCAAUAAAAUUGAUCUCCAAGAGUUGAAAGAAAAGAUUAUUUCAUUAAAAUAAAAAUAGAGAGAAGAUAUAUAGAUGAAAUUGAGCACUAUUUAUAAAGGAUCAUGAUUUAUCCAUCUUUUGAACAUACCAAAACAUUCUUCAGGUUUGUAUCUACAAGCUGUGUGUCCUGAUCCCUUUUUUUUUUGAAAAAAAAAAACACAAAGUUAAAUACAAGUAUAAAGUUAAAAUAAGUCUCGUUAAAUAAAAAUCAAUCUGACUAAAUUGAGAUAAAUUAAUAAUUUCCAAUUUUCAUGAAAAUUAUUCUACAAUUAAUUUCAUACCUUCACUGUUGCAAAAGUCAUUUUGUUGGAGUAAGAUCUCGUAUAACUACAAGGAUACGAUAUUAGAAAAAAUGAUUAAGCAUUAUCAACUCACAUAAUAAUAAUUAGUUUUAAGAAUUCAUAAUUGUAAUUAAGGAUGUUAAAUUUGGAGAUUAAUUACCCAGCAACUUGAUUAUUUACGUUCCAUGGACGCCAAUCAUCAACAAUGGAGUAGUUUAGAGACUUUAUCCAUUUCUGUGUGGAUUGAAAAGGUACUGAAUAAUCAUGAUCGCCACUGUUUAAACAUGAAAAGAAAAAAACCUCCAUUUUAUAUUCAUGAAAUUAUUGUAAAUACAUCGAACAAUAAAAUUAUAAUGACAUGAAAAAAGUUCUUCUGUAUAUCUCCGCAGGGGCUCACAUAUCUUUUGAAGUAUUAAUCUUUUUUAGUUUUGUGGCACUAGGUGAGAUUUAGGACCCGCUUAAUCAUGAAAAUUUAUUUAUUUUUUUCAGAAAUUCUCUUUACUUUUUAAGAAAUUAGUAUUUGUUCAUGAAAAUUUCAAAUACAACUUGAAUUUGUAUUUCAAAUCUACUGUGUUACCACUUUUAUUAUAUUAGAAAAAAUACAUUCAAAUUAUAAACAUUAUUUGCAAAAAGUAUGAUCAAAUACAACUCUAACUUUAAAAGUUUCAAACAAUAAACAAUAUUUGAUUUUCAUGAUGAAACUUCCAUUUACUUUGUGUUAUUCAGAUAUCAUGCAAUAACUUUAAUCUCAUGCCAAAUAUAUAAAAUUUACAUAGACACAAACGGAACAAUAUUGAGUACUAAUUACCUGUAUAUAAGUGAUCGAUAACCUUUAGUGCUUAGAUUUGCAUGAUAUGGUACAACAUUAUCGAUCGUGAGAGUGUAGUUGGGAGGAGAGCCUACACUUGAAAUUUUGUUACAUUGUACCCAGCUUCCUAUGAUUCUCUGUGAAGAGUAAAAUUACGAGUAACUAAGUGAUAUAGUAAAAUUAUGUGAUAUAUAUACUGUACACUCUUAUUGUAAUCCACGUACCUUUCGAACAUGAAGAGCUUCUUGGACUUUCGGGUCAUUAGCCCAAUACUUCAUAUGCUUGCGCCAAUCAGACUGAAGUAAUUGAGAAUAAGUUUCUACAAUUACUAGUAUUUUAUUUAUUCAUUUAAGUUAUAUACACAAACAGUAAUGUGGUAAAAAAAAAUUAUGAAUGUCAAAAUGAUAAAACAUGUUUUGUAUAAGGAUAAAGCCUCGUCCACUAUGGAUUAUUUUCUUCAUUUUUAUCUGUCUUCUUCUUUUUUCAAUUUUUUUGGGAGAUAAUUUCGCAGAUGGAUGAGGAUAUUUUUCUUAGAAAAUCACUCAAUUUUGUUUUAUAAUCUAAAGUCACUUAAUUGUAUAAAACAAAGUUAAGCGACUUUCUAAAUGAUUUACCUAGAGUUGAAUAACCAUCUGUGAUAUUAUCAAAUAUAUACUUUUAUUUCUUUCUUUCUUUUGUUUUAGUAGUAUUUCUUCAUCACCGGACAUUUUAGGUUGAACAUGUAUAUAUAUGCUGGGAGACUCAAUUUUGUUUUAUAAUCUAAAGUCACUUAAUUGUAUAAAACAAAGUUAAGCGACUUUCUAAAUGAUUUACCUAGAGUUGAAUAACCAUCUGUGAUAUUAUCAAAUAUAUACUUUUAUUUCUUUCUUUCUUUUGUUUUAGUAGUAUUUCUUCAUCACCGGACAUUUUAGGUUGAACAUGUAUAUAUAUGCUGGGAGACUCAAUUUUGUUUUAUAAUCUAAAGUCACUUAAUUGUAUAAAACAAAGUUAAGCGACUUUCUAAAUGAUUUACCUAGAGUUGAAUAACCAUCUGUGAUAUUAUCAAAUAUAUACUUUUAUUUCUUUCUUUCUUUUGUUUUAGUAGUAUUUCUUCAUCACCGGACAUUUUAGGUUGAACAUGUAUAUAUAUGCUGGGAGACUCAAUUUUGUUUUAUAAUCUAAAGUCACUUAAUUGUAUAAAACAAAGUUAUGUGACUUUCUAAACGAACUGCCUAGAGUUGAAUAACCAUUUGCGAUAUUAUUUGAUAUUCCUAAUUUUUAUUCUUUUCUUUCUUUUAUUUUAGUAGUAAUUCUUUAUCAUCGGACAUUGUAGCUAGACCAUCUAUAUAUAUGCUAGGAGAAUAUCAAGAUAUAAGUCUAACCACCUCAAAUGUCGUUUCUGACAUACUAUAGUCUAUAGAUAUUAAAGUCUCUCAACGACGAAAAUCAGAAAUACAUAGAAAUAUAUAUAUAUAUAUAUAAAGAACUUACAGCACACUUGUCUUGACGUUGCAAGGAGAUGAGUUUUUCAUCAAGUAAUCUUCUCUCACCAGACAUUUGAUAUGGACCUUGAAGAUAAUCAUAUGUGCAAAAGGGCUCUAAUAUGUGUUCCCCAUUAAUGUUUUUAACUAACUGCAUAACUAUAUGUUAAUUUACUGACAUAAAAAUAACAAAUAACCUACUAUUACAUCGAUCAAUCGAUAAUACUGUAAAACAAUAAUUAUAACCUGCUUGAAAAUUCGAAAGUCAUUUGCACAUCCUUUAUUGUUGGGAUCUAUAUUUGUAUAUUCUCCUCCACAAUUCUUCUCUAAUGACUGUUAACACAAAUCAAUAUUCAAGUUAAAUUAACAUCUCAAAUUUUAAACCUAAUUAUAUAUAAUGUAGAAAGUAAUUAAAACAAAUUAAUUAUGACUUAACCUUAUAAAGUUCAUCAGAUAUAAGUCCCAUGCCAUAACUAAAAAGUAUUUGAUAAUUGUCUUCUUGAGGACGAAGUGUUCCAGGACUGCCAAUUAAAUACCCCUUAAAUUAAAAAAAAUAAAAUAUUACUUGAUGAUGGUAAUUAAUUAUUAGAUAACAAAUUCUAAUUAGAGAACUAUUAACCUGAAGAUUAACAAAUGGCUCUUUGCCUGCUGUAUUUCCUGCAUUUGCAAAAAUCAAAGAAUAAUUUCUUUAAGAUUUAUUAUAUGUAAGAAACGUAGUUUUUGAUCUAUAUAUACAUGAGUAAAAUCUUCUAUAUAAUUUUUCAACAAAUUAAGAAUAUUCAAUUGUCCAUCCUUCAUUCUGAUAAGUGUCUCCAUCGGGAUAUCGAUCUAUUAUGUAUCUAGCUAGUACGCGGUACAUCAAAUUGAUUAAUUUGGAACACGUAUGCAAUUUCUUUAUCGAUAGUAUACAUGAACCUUACCAUUUGAUAUCAAUUGGGCUACAACUGGUAUCAUCUUGCCAGCAUAUGAGUUUCCAGACAUGUAAAAUGGAUUUGAGAUGUAUUCUGGAUGAUCACUGAGCCACUGAAAUAAUAAAUUCAUAGUUGAGUAAACAUGAUUUCAAUUUAGUUUAUAAUGAAAAAUUUCAUAAAUUACGUACCCACCUUUCUUAGGAAUUCAUAGACAUAAUCAAAUGCUUGUACAUCAGUUUGCUUAUAUGCAACUUCAUUUGUUACAUAUGAGAAUCCAGUGUUUAUUGGUUGAUCUAAGAAUAUUACACUUGCUAUCUGAAAAUCGAUAAUCAAAUGAUAUAUAUGUUUAACUUUUCUUUUAUUAUGUAGUAUAUUAUAUUAUUAUAACAAUUUUUUUUGGUCAAAACAAUAUUGGAAAAAAAAAACUUACCUUGGUCCAUGCGUGUGGGUUUAGUACGAACGAGGGCAUACUCCCAUAGUAGACUUGUUCCACAAAACGGAGUGGUCCUAAACAAGAAAAUAUCUUAUUAUUAUCUUCGACUAUUUUUUUUUUUUUUAAAUAAUACAUUUUAUUCUUAGUAAUAAUUAAUUAUUUCUUAAAAUAUAUACAUCAAUUAAUAAAUGUAGUAUGGUUAAAUAGUUGUGACAAACAUUAGUUUUUAAUAAAUAUGUCAAAAUUUAAAUAUGACAAGUAAAAACAAAUAAAAAUGUAUUCUCUCCCCUCCCCCCCCCCCCCCCAAAACCCANNNNNNNNNNNNNNNNNNNNNNNNNNNNNNNNNNNNNNNNNNNNNNNNNNNNNNNNNNNNNNNNNNNNNNNNNNNNNNNNNNNNNNNNNNNNNNNNNNNNNNNNNNNNNNNNNNNNNNNNNNNNNNNNNNNNNNNNNNNNNNNNNNNNNNNNNNNNNNNNNNNNNNNNNNNNNNNNNNNNNNNNNNNNNNNNNNNNNNNNNNNNNNNNNNNNNNNNNNNNNNNNNNNNNNNNNNNNNNNNNNNNNNNNNNNNNNNNNNNNNNNNNNNNNNNNNNNNNNNNNNNNNNNNNNNNNNNNNNNNNNNNNNNNNNNNNNNNNNNNNNNNNNNNNNNNNNNNNNNNNNNNNNNNNNNNNNNNNNNNNNNNNNNNNNNNNNNNNNNNNNNNNNNNNNNNNNNNNNNNNNNNNNNNNNNNNNNNNNNNNNNNNNNNNNNNNNNNNNNNNNNNNNNNNNNNNNNNNNNNNNNNNNNNNNNNNNNNNNNNNNNNNNNNNNNNNNNNNNNNNNNNNNNNNNNNNNNNNNNNNNNNNNNNNNNNNNNNNNNNNNNNNNNNNNNNNNNNNNNNNNNNNNNNNNNNNNNNNNNNNNNNNNNNNNNNNNNNNNNNNNNNNNNNNNNNNNNNNNNNNNNNNNNNNNNNCUCUCCCCUCCCCCCCCCCCUCCCAAAUCUAUUUUUUACCUUAAGUUUUUCAAAGGUCUUUUAAACAUUUUAGAUUAUCAAUUUGACUUAUAGUACUUUUUAUGUAGUUUACAAAUAUAUAAAUUUUAUUUCAAAAAAUUUGAAGAUUUUCAUGAGCAAAUUGUCGGUCAAACUUAAACUGUUUGACUCUCGAAAAAUGAAAAGUGUCACAUAAAUUGGGACAGAGGGAGUAUUUUUUUUUGGGACAAGGCACAAGUAUCCCCUUAGACUAUGACCGAAAUUUCAGAGACACAUCUUAACUAAACUAAGGUCCUAUUACCCCCGAUCUCAUUUUUUUUUUGUAAUUUUAUAAACCUUUUGGCUUACGUGGCACACACCAUGACUCCACGUAGUUGAAGUGCUUGAGAGAUGUUUGGAUGCCACAUAAGCUAAAAAAGUGUACAAGAUUAUUUUUUUUAAAAUGGUUCGAGGGGUAAUAUGAUAUUAGUUUAGUUAAGAUAUGUCUCUGUGAUUUCAGUUAUAGUCUAAAGGGAUACUUGUGCUUUAUUUCAUUUUCUUUUAAAAUUAUAAAAACUGAUGACAUCAAAAUCAGACAAACAAAUUAAAAUCGGAACGACUACCUAUCCCAUUAACAAUGGCAGUGACAGCAGAGCAACCGGGUCCACCAGAUAGCCAAAUCAAAAGAGGAUCGGUAGUAGGCUCGGAUUCUGAUUCCAAAAAAUAGUAGAAAAGUUGCAACUCCUCAUCUUUACCAACUCCAACAUACCUAUUUAAUUAAUAAUUAAUUACCUUGUCAUAUAAUUAAAUUAAAAUAAAAUAAAAUAGGACUAGAAGGAGUAGUAAAUGAAAUGUAUUACUUUCUAUUAAGGGUUGCGUAUCUUUGAUUCGAUUUUGUUUUAAGGUUUAUUGGGUCGAUUUAUAUUUGUAGAUUAAAUCGUUAAGAAUUAUUAUAUAUUGAUUUAUUGAUUAACGGUUUAUCGAUUAUUGAUUAUAAUCAAUUCGGUUAUCGAUUUAACCAUUAAGAUUUGACAUAAAAAAUAAAAUGAUUAAAACUCAUUUAGAAACAUGUUGAACAACCAAAUAAAUCAUGCAUAUAAGUUGAUAGAUUUUAUCUUGCUAAAAAACAACACAGAAAUAAACUAUGAAACUAAGAGCAUGUUUGGCAUUGCUGAUCAAAACUGCUUAUUUGUAGAAGCAUUUUGUAAAAAUAAGUUUUCAGAAAAAUGCUUUUGAAAGAGAAACAAUUUUUGUUUGACUAAUUCUUUUGAAAAAUGUUUUUGAUAAACAAAUUGUGUUUGACUAAUAUUUUUAAAAAGUGCUUAUGAAAGUCAAAUUACGAUAAAAGGCAAGUAUUAAUACUAAGAUUAUUUUAUAGAGAGAAACUAUUUUAAUAUCUAUUAUAAAAAAAAUAUUUGAUUUUUAUUUUUAUUAAAUUAAAAUGUACAUAUUCAAUUUUUCAAUUAAUAUUAUACCUUUUUAUGGGAGGACUGAUAUCUUUAAUUGUUAUUUUUUUCUUCUAAUUUUACAAAAAUAUUGUUCUUACCUUUUUUUUUCUAUUUCUGAUACAAAAUAUAAAAUAAUUAUAAAUAAAUGUAAAAUAAAAUAUUUAUUAUAUAAAAAUAAAAAAUAAAACAUUUUAAAUGAAACUUAAUCAAACUUAUGAGAUAUGGUAAUUAAUUAUUAAGUGAUAUAUUGAUAAAUAUGUAUACCUGGAGGAGAUAUUUUAUUCUUGAAAAAAAUAAUUUCUGAUUUCUACUUCUGAAACAAUUUUUUUAGUUUCUUCCCAACAUUAGAAAAACUAAUUUUUGCUUCUAUUUAAAAACAAUUUUACUGAUUUGUCAAACAAUUAUUUUUUCACAAAAAGUGAUUUUCUCAAAAUAAGUGUUUUUGGCCUCCCAACAACAAUAUCAAACAGGUUCUAAAUUCUAAAUCAAUGACUUCAUAAAUCGAAUGGUAUAAAUAUAAUUUAUUAAUUUACUAUCGAAUUAUCAAUUAACCUGUUAAGAAAAAACCUCAACCAUUAAUAAUCAAUAACUCGAUAAUUACAAAAACAAAACCGUUAAAUUAUACCGAUAAAUCAAUAACUCAUUUUUUAUUCGUUUUAUCAAUUUCAAUUUGAACCGCCCUACUUUCUAUCGAUAUUACCACCAACCUCCUACAAAUCAUCUCCACAUUGCUAUUUAUAUCUAAUGUAGUUAUUCUAAAACUUAAAACCAACCAAAUUUAAAAAUUCAAACUUCACCUCUAAUAUUGCCACGAAAACAUAGUUUUAUUUUAGGAUAAAAAUCUUCUCGUUCUCAAAUAAAUAAAUAAAUGCAAACGAGCUCACCCGGUCUCUAGAGGGAACGGGAGGCGUCCCUGCAAACCGGGAAGAUACUCAACAGUAGAAUGCGAAGCAGCUUGUUGUUGUUGUUGAAGAAGAAGAAGCAGUAGCAGCAACAACUUUUCCAUUAUUGUUGCUAAAUUAUCGAUACUCAUUUUACCAAUAAAUUACUAUUUAUCAUAUAUUAUUGAUGAUAAGGAGCCAAGGGACCUCCACGUGGACAAAAUAUAACAACAAUUUUAGGUAUGUUCUGGUCCCCGUAGAAGUAAUUUUGCUGAAUAAGUGGUGCUAUACGCAAGUAUUUAUUAAUGCGGCUACAAUAAUGAGAUUAAACUCUCGAAAAAGACUAAACAACUAUUAAUAUGUUAUCAAUAUCUUGGUACACGAAAUAAGAUAAAAUGAACUUGCAAAAAAAAUUCUAAUUUUAAUCCAAUGGAAUUAUAAUUCAAAUAAUUUCAACGGAAUUCUAGUUCAGAAAUUCUGCUUGCAUCAACAAAACCUCUAAACAUGCAUCAAAACUGCAUUCAGAGAUCUAAGAAGGGAAAUUUAUAGAAAUUUCACUAGCUUAGGAGUUAAUUUAGUUUCUAACAUUACAAAGUUUACUAGGUUUUGGUGAGUUCAGAUACAUAUAUCUCGGGAUAUGUAGGAUUAAAAUUAAGUGUAAAUGUGUAAUUUAUAUUCUAGAUACACCGUAUCCAAAUGAAUUCACAUCUAUCUGAAAUAGAUAUAUUAUCCUAUGAUCCUUUUGGACAAGUGACAUAAAAUUAGAUUGGUAUAAAAUUAAAUUUUAUUUGAACAUUCAAUUUGAAUUUUUUAAAGUGCAAAUCCUGAUACAAAAAUAAAUGUGCAAAUACAGUCUAAAGCUUUUACAAACGAUUCAUUUAAUUUUCUGCUCCCAAAUGUAGUCCAUUUACUGUCUCUAAAUUAAUUAUAUACCUUUUGUUUUGGUCCGUAAGAAUUUUUUUAUCUUAAAAGUCCCAAUAAGUUUUCUUUCUUCACUUUUUUUUUUUUGGAAUUUAAAUAGUGUAUUUUUUUUAUUUAUAAAUAUCUCAAAAUGUAUAUUUUAUCAUCUAAACAUAAGAAGAAAUUGUAACUUAUCGUAUAAUUAUGAAUAUCUAUAUGUUAAUUUUGAAACAUUCAUGAAUUAAUUUAAGAGCAAUUUUCACAUAUAGCAAACAUAAAAAUUAUAUUUGUAUGUUAUAGCUAUAGUUUGUAUAAUUGCGCUCCAUAGCAAAUUUUUAUGUUUUGAUAUGGAGCUUUUGAUUUGUAUAAUUCGCUAGAUGCAUCCAAUUUUUAUACAAAUUGUUCAGUUUUUGUAUAAAUUCAUUUAUACAUUGUAAUUUGUAUAAUAAGAUUUGUAUUUGUAUAAUUAUAAGUGUAUAGGACGAAAAUAUAUGUAUUUGUAUUUGUAUAUACACUUUUCUCUCGCUUUUAUACAAAUACAAACGCAUUUUAUACAUUUGUAUACCGAAAAUGGCUAAUUGUAUAUCGAAUCAGAUGGCAAAAAAAUGGGAUGUUUGAUGCGAAUUACAAAUAGAAUAAACUAUGGCUAUACCAUUUAAUUUAAAAUUAAUAGUUUGUUAUUUCAUACAAUUUUCCCUUUAAUCCAAAUCUAACUUUAAAGAUUGAUCAAAUUUAACUUUUAAAAAGCAAAAACUACAUCAUAAAUUAAAAUAUUACAUAAAAAUUUAAUUUAAUUUUUUACUUUUUUAAAGUUCAUACAAAUUUUAAAUAAAAUAAUCAAAUAAUAUAAAAUGAAGAGAGCACUAGAUUGUUUUAUUUGUGGCACAUACUUUUCUCUACGUGGAUAAAAUAUAACCACACUACUUUAGUUUAAUAUUUUAGGUAUCCUUAGGUCCCGCAGUAGUAAUUAUUAAUUUUGCUGAAUUAAUGGGUCAUGCAAGCUGGUUAGAUGUGUGAAAUAGAGGACUCGUACGUAUUUGUUAAUGUGGCUACAAUAAAGAGAUUAAAUUCUUGAAAAAGACUAAACAACUAUCGAUCUGCCAUUAAUAGCGAAAUAAGAUAGAAUAUUUGAGAAUUAAACUUAAUUCUGAAAGAGAAAGGAAUUCACUAUCAAGCUAGCUAGCAAGAGAAGUAGAGAGAUAGAUUAUAUAUAUCUGUCCAAGACUUUAGCAAUUUUAAUUUAUUUGGGUUAAGAUAGAUAAAAGGUUGGACAUGAGUUUCAAUUUGGGAAUGACUUGUUUUUAAGAAAAAUGGGUAAUUUGAACUGAUUUGAGGCUUUUCGUUAAAUUAGAGAUAUGGGUGACAAGUUUGUAAAUGGAGGGAUUUAAAUGGCCACAUAUUAUAACGCAUGAUAAAACUAACAAAGUUGCGGAAUAUCUCUGAUCCUUCUCCUAAUAAAAUUAGAAAAAAUUAUUUAAAUAUACAAUUUAUUUUAUCAUGUUCUCUAAAAUUUCCUAUCACUUGUAAAAGUUACAAAAAUCUCUACUCUCUCCUAUUCUCGCAUACAUCAUUUUACACGAUUUAUCGGUCAGAUACAUUAUUUUACAUGAUGUAUCGGUCGGAUACAUCACUUACGCUAUGUAUCAGGACGUUGAGUGAUGUAUCCAAAAUCCAAUUUGAAAAGCCAGUCCUUUACACCGGAGCUGCUAUUUCCGAGUAAAAAAAGGAGUCUUUAGAAGAACACGGAUUAUCAAAUUGGCUCGAGAAAUUCAAGCCAGGAUCAGUAGUGUUCUGUGCAUUUGGGAGCCAAUUGAUUCUUGAAAAGGAACAGUUUCAACAAGUUGUUUUAGGCUUUGAACUGACUGAGUUACCAUUUCAUUUAGUCGUUAAACCACCUAAAGGUACAAAAUCAGUAGAAGAAGCUUUGCCACAGGGAUUCAAAGAGAGGGUUCAAGAGAAGGGAAUGAUUCUUGAUUGUUGGGUGCCACAAUUGGAGAUUUUAAGACACAAAUCAGUUGGUUGUUUUGUGACUCACUGUGGUUAUGGGUCGAUGUGGGAGUCUUUGGCGCUGUGUGAUUGUCAAUUGGUACUUUUGCCAAGGCCUAUUGAUCACAUUUUUAAUGCUAGGCUGAUGGAACAACAACUUAAGGUUGGUGUAGAAGUGGAGAAAGAUGAAAAUGAUUUGUUUACAAAGGCUGUGAAAUGUGUGAUGGAUAAAGAUAGCCAAAUUGGUUGUCUUGUGAAAGAGAAUCAUAGAAAAUGGAAGGAACUUCUUGUUGGGGUUUAUUUGCCCCGAUUUCUUACCAUAAAUAGGUUUUCCUUUUAGGAAAAGGUUUUAAUAUUUUACUAGUCCUUUUCUUGUAGGAAAGGUUUAGGACUCUAUAAAUAUAGGUUUGUUCCUUCUAACUUAAUUAGCAUUCACAAUGUAGUCCUAGGGUUUUGAGAGUUGCGGUUAUGGGGGAGAGUUUUGUGUACCUCCUUGUAUUCAGAGUGAAUUGUUUGAGGUUGUUUCUCUCCAUAUUUUGUACUCUCAUAUUUAUAGUGGAUUGCUCAUCUCCUUUGUGGACGUAGGUCGAUUGACCGAACCACGUUAAAUCUGUCUCUUUUGGUAUAUUUCUCGUUUGUCUUCUUACUCAUGGUCUUUCGAGGUUUGCUUUGCUAGUUUCCGCGUUACACCUGCUUAUUUCGGUCCUAACAAGAGUCCCGGCUUCAUGAGUAACUACAUUGAUAACUUCAUUCGAGACUUGCAUGGGCUUCUACUUGAAAAGACCUAGAUAAUUAGCAGGGUGGAUCUAAUGUUGAAGUUACGGGGUUUGCAUAAUUCAGUGCAUUUUUGUUAAAAAAAUUUACUUAAUAUGUAUGAAUAAUUCAUCCCCAACCAAUUGUUGUCAUGUUUUAAAAUUUAGAAUUUAUAAACUCAAAAACCAUGUAUCUAGUAAAGUAACUUGCAUUUAUCGGAUGUUUCAUGUCGUGUAUAGGAGUUAUACACCUUUCCCUCGAAUUUAGACUUUUCUUUUUUUUAAAAAGGAAAAAAGAACUUUUUUUACCUCUAUAUACACUUCUGAGUUCUGAACACUCAAAGAAAUGUACAAAUUUAGAUCUAAAAUUAAGUUUGGUAUAUUUUUAACUAUGAAAAAGGAUAAAAAAUAUCUCUUAUCAUAUAAAAAAUACUCAACCGUGGAAUGCGAAGCAGCUUGUUAUUGUUGUUAUAGAAGAAGAAGAAGCAGCAGCAGCAAAACUGGCAGUUUCAACAACUUCUCCAUUAUUUCUAAAUGACAUAAACUGAAAAAGUAGACAUACGCAUCCUGCGGCAUAAGACACGUAGGGUGCCACAUAGGACACAAAAUUGUCACGUAGGAUGCCAUGUAGGAUGAAUGUGUCUAUUUAUUCGACAUGUAAAACCAGAACAGGGAAAGAUUUUGUUCACAAACAUCUAAAGUUGGUAAAGUUAAGAAAAAUUAUUUUCAGUAAAAUAAAAUAAAAUAGAGAGAAGAUAUAUAGAUGAAAGUGAGGAAUAUUUAUAAAGGAUAGUGAUUUAUCCAUCUUUUGAACAUAACAAAACAUUCUUCAGGUGUGUCUGUGUCCUGAUCCCUGUUAAAGAAAAAUAAAUAAAUGCAAAGUUAAAUACAAAUAUAAAAUAAAAAUAAAGCUCUUUAAAUAUAACUCAAUCUGACUAAAUUGAUAUAGAUUAAUUAUUUCUUAAUUUUCAUGUAACUUAUUUCUACAAUUAAUUUCAUACCUUCACGGUUGCAUAAGUCAUUUUGUUGGAGUAAGAUCUCGUAUAACUACAAUGAUACGAUAUUAGAAAAAUGAUUCACAGCAAGAAAGAAUUGAAUUAGCCUCGGAGAACUGAACUGCCUUGAUCUGAAUCUCUGGAACUCACAGAAGACCAAGGCAAGUCCACUCUCAAUUCAGCAUAAGCUUGGGAUCUUUCUUUCCUAAAGCAUUUCCCUUGAAGCCAGGUCUUUCUUCUCUUCUUUAAAGCCUGGAGCUGGACUUCUUUUUCCUGACUCGAUUCACUGUUUAAUCACACUAAGUCAGAGCCCAACCAGGGUGAGAGAGAUAGGAGAGUAGGGAUGGGGAACCAAUGUCACCAACAACACUAGCAGUCUCGGAUCUUUGAAUAGACAGAGAGAGAUGCUCUUCCUGCGGCCCAAGAGCGUAUUCGUUCAAAGAGAUGGCAAUGACUUUCUUCCCACCCGGGAAUCGUAGUAAGCCGGGAGAAAGACAUUCAUAUAUUCCCCAGGCACGGGAUAAAGGGAAAGAGAGAGCCGAGAGCCGGGAACGCAAUAAAAAGAAUUUCCCUCUCCCUGUAGGUCGAGCUGAAUUACAUCCACCCUCUCACUUCGUUCGAGCUUCCUUUUCAGCCCUCUCACGGGAAUCUUUUAAUUAGAAUACGUACGAGACUACCAAAGCAAAUUAACUUCUUUCCCCGGAGCAACAACUGAAAGAGAAAAUACCGGUUUAUUCAUCUGCACCGGAAAAGAGCUAAGUAUUAUCAACUAACUUAAUGAUUAGUUUUAAUUGAAAAUUCAUAAUUGUAAUUAAGGAUGUUAAAUUUAGAGAUUAAUCACCCAACAAGUUGAUUUUUACUGCUAGGCUGAUGGAACAACACCUUAAGGUUGGUGUAGAAGGAUGAAAAUGAUUUGUUUACAAAAAUGUGUUAUGGAUAAAGAUAGCCAAAUCGGUUGUCUUGUGAAAGAGAAUCAUAGAAAAUGGAAGGAACUUCUUUCGAGUCUUGGCUUCAUGAAUAAUACAUUGAUAACUUCAUUAAAGAAUUGCAUGGGCUUCUAGUUGAAAAGACCUAGAUGAUUAGCAGGGGUGGAUCUUAGGUUGAAGUUACGGGGUUUGCAGAAUCUAGUGUAUUUGUGCAUUUUUGUUAAGAAAUUUACUUAAUAUGUAUGAAUAAUUCAUCCCCAACCAAGUGUUGUCAUGUUUUAAAAUUCAGAAUUUAUAAACUCAAAAACCAUGUAUCUAGUAAAGUAACUUGCAUUUAUCGGAUGUUUUCAUGUCGUGUAUAGGAGUUAUACACCUUUCCCUCGAAUAUAGACCUCUUUUUUAAAAAAAGGAAAAAGAACUUUUUUUACCUCUGUAUACACUUCUGAGUUCUGAACACUCAAAGAAAUGUACAAGUUUAGAUCUAAAAUUAAGUUUGGUAUAUUUUAACUAUGGAAAAGGAUAAAAAAUAUCUCUUAUCAUAUCAAAAAUAUUCAACCGUGGAAUGCGAAGCAGCUUGUUAUUGUUAUUAUAGAAGAAGAAGAAGAAGCAGCAGCAAAAUUGGCAGUUUCAACAACUUCUUCAUUAUUUCUAAAUGACAUAAUACAUAAAUGUGUCUUUUUACUUGGUUUUAACUGAUACUAGUGAAUAUGUUCGCGCUUCACGCGAUGAGAAAAAAUAAUUAAAAAUAUUUAAAUAAAUCAUUUCUUAUAUUUGAAAAUCAAAAAUAUUUUAAGAAUCAUUUCUAAUUUUCAAAUUCAAAUAGAUUUAAGUUUUAAGUUCUAGUUAUUAUUAAAUAUAAUUUAAGCAAUGUAAUAAUAACUGUUAAAAUAAUUCAAUAUAGUGUGAAUUUUUUUACUAUUGAUUAGAAUCGUAAUUUAAAAUAAUAAAUAUUUUCUUUUAAUUGAAUCAUAAUCGUUUUGCUGAAUUGUUGAUGUACUUGAAAAAAAUGGAUCAUACAGUAUUAAAUAUAUUAUAUGAUGUGUUUGAUUUUUUGAACAAAAUGAAAAGAACACAAAUGGUUAUCGGGCUAAAGGCUUAUUGUAGCAAAGUCGUAGAAGUAAAUUUUGUAUAAAAAAUAUAACUUUUAAAUAUUUAUCAUACAUAAUAUUCAUCGAAAAUUCAUCUAUUCAGUGUAGAAAAUUGAAAUAAAUUGUAACACAAGAUAAAAGAAAAUUUUUAAAUUUAUAUUGCAAUUAAACACAAACAUUAAUUUUUUUAUUAAUCAUUAUUAAGUACUAUGAUUGAAGAUUGAUAUCUCAAUUUAAUAAAAUAUAAAUAUGGAAGAUAAAAGACUGAUGUAGAACCUCACUUUGAUCAGGAUUAUCAGUUUUCUUCUUCUUCUUUUUUUGAAAAUUUUUACUAUCUUUUGAUUUAUAAAAUCUGCAAAAAAAAUAUAUAUAUUUUAUUUAUUUCUCUCCUCACUAUUAUUACAAUUUAUUAAAUAGUAAAUAUUUUUCACCUCUCCUCAUCAUACAACUUCUACAGUUUACUUUUUUCCACCUUCUAUUUUUAUAGUUUUUUAAAAUAAAAAUUCUUGUUGAUCUCUCAUCAUUAUUAUCAUAAUUAAUUUUUCUUAUUCAAAAAAUUCUCUUUUUCGUUAAUUGUUUUCUUUCCUUUGAUUUAUAAUUUCUUUUUUAAAAAAUAGAUCUUAAAUAUUUUAUUUAUCUUUCUCUGCACUAUUGGUACAAUUUAUUAUAAUUACUUUUUUGUUUUUUCUCGUUGUUGCUAUAAAACAUUCUUUUUAAUUGCCCUUUUGUUGUCUAAAGAAAAUCUUAUUUAUUUCUUCUCCUUAUUAUCACUAUUAUUAAUUUAUUAUUAUUAUUAUUUAAAUAAAUACUUUUCUUUUCUUUUAAUUUUUUCUCUUGAUAUAUAUAUAUAUUGACCAAGAAUUUAAAUUAUCCCCUUUCUCCUUUCUUGACUUUAAAAUGUUUUUUUCUUAUUUAUAUUUAUGUUUUAAAACUCAAAAGAAGUUAUAAAUAGUAUCUUAAUUAGUACUAACUGUUUAACAUAUUUAUAGUACACACCUUUAUAUUAUGAUUAUGAUAAAUAUAUUUACCUUAUUUAUAUAUCUUCUUACAUUACUAUAAUUUAUUUUUUUUCAUCUCUCCUCAUUAUUACUAUAAUUUAUUAUUAUUUUAAAAUUCAUUUUUUACCUUCUAUUUUUAUAUUUAAAAUGAAAAUUUUAUGAUCUCUCCUCGUUAUCAUCGUAAUUUAUUCUUAUUAUUAUUCACAAUAUUUUUCUUCUAUACAAUUAUUUAUCUUUUAAUCUAAAAAAUUAGUUAAAAAUUAAAAAAAUCAAAUAUUUUAUUUAUCUCUCUCCUCACAUUAUUACAAUUUAUUACUUUUUAUUUCUACCUUUUAUUUUAAAAGUUUCCCAAGAUUUUUUUUUUAUUCAUCUCUCUUUCUUAUUAUCAUAAUUUAACAUUGUUUAUGAAAUUUCUGUUCUUUCUUAAUUUUUUUUAUCUAUAAAAUUUAUAUGAAAAAUAUUUCUUUGAUCAAGAAUUAUAAUUAUUUUUUUCUCUCCUAUUCUUGAUUUUUAAUUUUUUAUUUAUUUAUGUGCUAUGUUAAUAAAAAUCAAAAUAUUCUUUGAAUAAAUAGUUUAUAUAUUUUUAUAAUUUUUUUUAUUUUAAUGUUAAAUAAAAAGUAGAAAGAGAAUGAUGUAAUUAGUAAAACAAAAUAAAACAAAGAGUAAUGUAUAACUCUCUUUCAUUUUUUUGUGUUUUCUUUUAUGGUAGUAUUUUUAAUUAUUAUUUUUUCCUUUUUUUUUCUUUUCCUUCCUUUUACUUUUUACUCAAUUUCAUUCCUUGCCUUCUCAUUCUUUUUCAAACUAUCAUAUUAUUCUUUUUUAUCAGAAAAGAGAAUUAAUUUUUUUUUAUAACUUUCCAUAUUAUUUCAAUACCUUAUAGAUAAAUAAAUUAAAAACAAAAAAAAGUAAAAAAAAAAUAGUGAUUUAAGGAAAUGAUAUAAAUUGAGAGUAAUGAUCAAAUUAAGGUUAGGAUGUAAAAUAUGAUUGAUGAUGAAUGAAAUUAAAUAUGGUCACUUUGAUAUUCAAUAAAAUUUGAAAGUGAAAUUUUCAGUCUUUUAGAAUUUUAAAAAAUAAUAUAAAAUUUAAAAACAAAAAAACUACAAAAAUAUAAAUUUCAGGCCUAAAAAAAAUAUCACGUCAUAUAUAUAUAUGGUUUAAAGAAAUAAACUUUAACUAAAGAUAUAUAAAAGAAAAUUAAAAAAAUUCAAUUGAAAAUAUAUAAAAAAUAAUAAAACAAACUUUAAUUAAAGAUAAGUAAGGAAAAAUUAAACAAAAAACGUUUUUAAGGGAGGGGGAAUAAAAAAAAGUUUUUAAGAGAAGAAAAAGGAAUUAGAAUAUACAUUUCUCCUUAUUCCUUCCUAAUUUAAUAAGAAUUCCAUAAAUAAAUUGAUUCUCUCUCUAAAUAAUUCUUGUUGCCCUUGAACCACGUAUCAUUCUUUUUAUAAGUUUCUCAAUUAAAAUAAUUUUUUUCUUCUCAAUAUAUAUUUUCUUUUAGAAGGAAUUAUAGUGCAAAAUUCUUUCAAAAGUAUGAUUAUUAUAUGAUUUUUCUUCUUAGAUCAAUAUCUUUGAAACAAUCUUGAGAUACGGCCUCUUUCUCUUUUCAUGAUGAGAUAACAUUCCAUCAUCAUUACAAAAAAAGACAAAGAGCGAAUUUGUUGUUCAUUAUGAGAUCUCUACUAUACAUCUCUAAAUUAACUUUCAGAGAACUUUAAUUUGUCGUUAUUUGUAAAUCAAAUAGAAUAGAAUGAGAGAAUUAAUAUUUCAUGGUGGCAUCAUUUCCACGGUCUACAAGUUGAAUGUUAGAAGACAUUUUUGAUGUUUUUCGAUCUUCAAGUAUAUUGAAUUCUUAUAUAGGAUUUCAUUCUUAUUUUGCUAGAUCCACUUGUUGUAAUUCUUGUUGGCAUAAAAUGGUCAAAUCUACACAGGUAUAUUCUAACGAAUUCAUUCAUACAAACAAAUCAAUUUUUAUUUAUUUAUCUGAGCUAGCAAAACAUCUCUUGCUAUGAGUUCUUGAUUCAUCUCCUGCAUAAUGUUUGUUUACACAAAUAAAGCAAAAAUUCAAUUUACCUGAAGGAGUAAAUCUGCUCUUGCAAUGAUUCUUUCAUUUUGUCAAUUUACCUUCAAAAUAUGUGCUCUCCAGCCUAGUUUUGUUUGUACAAACAAAUCAAAAAUUUGAUCUAUCUAAGGUAGUAAAACUUUUCAAAAUAUUAAUUUACCUGAAGUAGUAAAUCUUCUCUUCCAAUGAUUCUUCCAUGUUGUCAAGUUCCUUACAGAUUAUGUGAUCUCCUACAUAUUUUUUUAUACCUUUUUAAUUGGUUGAUUACAAAACCGUUACAACUGUUCAUUUUCUAUUGCAACAAUAAAUAUAUUCUUUAUGUUAAAACUUUUCAUUAUCCUCUUUAACUGUAGGUUAAUAGAUGCAUUAGAGGUAUUUAGUAGAUUAUUAUAUUAAGAAAUGAAUUUAAAAGAUCAAAAAAUUGAGGAAAAGAUAAAAUGAAAUGGUGGCCAUAGAGAGAUGCCACAUCAGCUUUUCUAUAUUUAGCUUUAUAUAAAUAUAUAGAUUUAUACUCUCCAAUUUUGAGAGUGCACAAGUAUGCACUUAAACUUGUAAAAUACUAAAAAAGUAGACACACGCAUCCUGUGGCAAAAGACACGUAGGGCGCCACAUAGGACACAAAAUUGUUACGUAGGACACCAUGUAGGACGAAUGUGUCUAUUUGUUCAAUUUUGUACAAGUUUAAGUAUCUACUUGUAAAUAUCCAAAGUUAGAGAGUAUAAAUGCCAGUUGAAGCCAAGUUAAAGAGCACAAUUGCCUUCCUAAAUUAGGGGUGUGCAAAAACCGAUUUAACCAAUAAACCGAACCGAAAAAAACACUAUUGGUUUAUUGAUAUUGGGUUAUUGGGCUAACAGUUUUUAAACGGUUUUGCAAAUUUUUUUAUUGGGCUAUUGGUUCGGUUUCCGGUUUUAUAAUUUUUGUUAAUGGUUAAACCGAUAACCCAAUAAGACUAUACUAAAUUUACUAGUCUUAUUGUUAAUGGUUAAACGAUUGUUACUUUCACACUUUUUGUGAAUGUGUCUAGUGUCUAAACUUGCAAGAAAAAUGAUUGUUACUUUUAUGAUUAUUACUCAUGCCAAAUGCUGGAAAAAUCAUAUGGUUUAUUUGAAAAUUUUCUUAUCGUGUAUAUAAUAUAUAUAAGUAUUUUCUUAUUGGUUAAACCGAAAAUCGAACCGUUAAGUACCAUAAACCGAUUAACCAAAAACCGAUAAGAAAUAUGUUAUUGGUUUGGUUAUCGGUCUGAAGUAUUUACAAACCGAAAACCGAUAAACCGAACCAAUAACACCUAAAACCGAACCGAACCGACCGAUGCGCACCCCUAUCCUAAAUUAUUAACAGUCAUUUUACCAACAAAUUAAUACUAUGUAUUGAUGAUAAAUAGUGGUGGCAAAUGGGCGGGUUGAAAAUGGGUAAUAAUUCAACCCGCUCAUAUUUGAUAUGGGUAAAAAUGAAUUGGGUAACAAAUGGGUUGGGUAAAAUACUAGUUUACCCAUAUUUUACCAUAUUUUCAUGAGUAAAUAAUACUCAACUUAAGAAUUCAACAUGUAGAAAAUAUUUUAGUCUUUUUUUAGAUGAAAAAUGUUGAAAAUGCUUCAUUUAGUAUUAUUGUAUCAUAAAAGUAAAAAAAAAUCCUAUAACUUUUCAAUAUAAAAUAAAUUUAUGUAAUAACAGGGGGGACAUAUUUUUAAUUUCAAAAUAAAUGAAUAUUUGCAUUUUAGAACUAAAACAUGCUUAAUGCACUUUAACCAAUGUCAAUACUAGUACAUGAUUUGCUUAUUUUACACUAUUAUUUAUUAUCCAAUAUAAAAUUAAGCAAAUAAAAAAAUAUAUAAUUAUAAUUAACAAAAGAAAUGUACAUUUAAAAAUAUAUAUUUUUUGGAGGGCCAAAAGACUUUCACCUUUUUCAAUUAUAGAGAAAAAUAAUUAGUUUUAUAGAAGAAUAUGAAAAGGAAGAGAAGUUACAAUAUUUUUAGUGAUAUCAUGAAUUUUGAAUGAAUAAAAGUUAGAAGCUUAACCCAUUUGGUUAAUCCAUAUUUUAUCCAUAUUUUUAUGGGUUGAAUAUGAAUAUCAACCCAUAUUUUACUCAUGUAAAAGGUCACUCACCCAACCCAUUAAAAUAUGAACGGAUUGGGCGGGUUACAAAAUAUGUCCUCAUUUUGCUCGCACUAAUGAUAAGGAACCAAUGGAACUCCUUUAAAGUUUUAUGAACAAUUAAAUCCCUUAUAUCCAAAGACAAAAUUGAAUGAGAGGAAGCAUUUCGUCGAAGGCAAAAGAGAAAAAAAGAUGACAGAGUCAAAAAUGGAAAUAGUGAUGUUCCCAUGGCUUGCUUUUGGGCACUUAAUCCCAUAUAUGAAUCUGUCAAAUGAAAUUGCAAAAAGAGGUCACAAAAUCUCAUUCUUGUUGCCCAAAAAUGCUGAAAUUAGACUUCAAAAACUCAAUCAUUAUCCAAAUCUCAUCAAAUUACAUAAACUGACAAUACCUCAUGUUGAUGGCCUUCCAUAUGGAGCAGAGACUACAGCUGAUGUUCCUACAUCAUUGGAGAGUCUAUUAGCAACAGCUUUUGAUGAAUUGUAUGAUGAAAUCAAAUCUUUUCUUCGAAAUGUUAAACCCCAUUUCAUUUUCUUUGAUUUUGCUUAUUGGAUUCCUGAUUUAGCACGAGAAAUUGGGGGUAUCAAGACUCUGUUUUACAGUGUUUUUAGCCCUGCUGCAGCAUCUAUAUCAUUUGUUAAGUCACCAGAUAAGACUACAUUUAUGGCAUCAACCGCAGCUGAGCUAGUAAAGCCACCACCAGAUUACCCUUCUACUACUGUGGUGUUGCGCGAAAGUGAAGCUAAGUUGUUAUCAUUUCUAUUACAUGAAUAUGGAAAGGGGGUGACAUUUUACGAACGUGUGAAGAAGGGGAUGACAGGAUGCGAUGCAAUAGGUAUGAGAACAUGUAGAGAGAUUGAAGGAACCUUUUGUGACUACAUAGCAACACAUUCUGAAAAGUCAGUCCUUUACACAGGACCUGUUCUUUCCGAGCCGAAAAAUGAGCCUUUAGAAGAACACGGAUUAUCAAAUUGGCUCGAAAAAUUCGAGCCGGGUCAGUAGUGUUUUGUGCAUUUGGGAGCCAAAUGAUUCUUGAAAAGAAACAGUUUCAACAACUCGUUUUAGGCUUUGAACUGACUGAAUUACCAUUUCUUUUAGUUGUUAAGCCUCCUCAAGGGACAAAUUCAGCCGAAGAAGCGUUGCCGGAGGGAUUCAAAGAAAGGGUUCAAGAAAAGGGAUUGAUUCUCGAUUGUUGGGUGCCGCAAUGGGAGAUUUUAAGUCACAAAUCAGUUGGUUGUUUUGUGACUCACUGUGGUUAUGGAUCAAUGUGGGAGUCUUUGGCGCUGUGUGAUUGUCAAUUGGUACUUUUGCCAAGACCUUUUGAACACACUUUAAUUGCUAGGCUUAUGGAACAACAACUUAAGGUUGGCGUAGAAGUGUAGAAAGAUGAAAACGAUUUGUUUACAAAAGAGAAUUUGUGCAAGGCUGUGAAAUGUGUUAUGGAUAAAGAUAGCCAAAUUGGUCGUCUUGUGAAAGAGAAUCAUAAGAAAUGGAAGGAACUUCUUUCGAGUCCUGGCUUCAUGAGUAACUACAUCGAUAACUUCAUUCAAGACUUGCAUGAACUUCUAGUUGAAAAGACCUAGAUAAUUAGCAGGGGUGGAUCUAAUAUUGAAGUUACGAGUUAAGUGUAUUGUGUUAAGAAAUUUUGCUUAAUAUGUAUGAAUAAUCCAUCCCAACCGAUUCAGAAUUUAUAAACUCAAAACUGUCUAUCUAGUGAUGUAACUUGCAUUUUUCUAACGUUUUCAUGCCGUGUUUAGGAGUUAUACACCUUCCUUUCAAAUUUAGAGUUUUUAUUUUUAGAUAACAUUUUUACCUCUAAAUGCACUUCUGAACACUCAAAGAAGUGUACAAGUUUAGAUCUAAAGUUAAGUCUGGUAUAUUAUAACUACGGAAAAGGACCAAAAAUAUUCUGUCUACAUUUUUUUAGCAUAGAAGAGUCAAUCCAUUAGCUGCAUUACAAGAUUUUAAUUCCAUCUUUUGCCCCUCUUCCAAAUGACAUGUAAAACCAGAACAGGGAAAGAUUUUGUUCACUAACAUCUAAAGUUGAUAAGGUUAAGAAAAGAUUAUUUUCAGUAAAAUAAAAUAAAAUAGAGAGAAGAUAUAUAGAUGGAAUAGAGGACAAUUUAUAAAGGAUCAUAAUUUAUCCAUCUUUUGAACAUAACAAAACAUUCUUCAGGUUUGUCUGUACAAGCUGUGUCCUGAUCCCUAUUAAAUAAAAAUAAAAAUAAACGUAAAAUUAAAUACAAAUAUAAAAUAUAAAUAAAUCUCUUUAAAUAUAACUCAAUCUGGCUAAAUUGAUAUACAUGAAUUGCUUCUCAAUUUUCAUGUAACUUGUUUCUAAAAUUAAUUUCAUACCUUCACUGUUGCAUAAGUCAUUUUGUUGGAGUAAGAUCUCGUAUAGCUACAAUGAUACGAUAUUUGAAAAAUGAUUAAGUAUUAUCAACUCACAUAAUAAUUAGUUUUAAUUAAGAAUUCAUAAUUGUAAUUAAGGAUGUAAAAUUUGGAGAUUAAUUACCCAGCAACUUGAUUGUUUAUGUUCCUAUUGACGCCAAUCAUCAUCAAUAGAGUAGUUUAGAGACUUUAUCCAUGUUUGUGUAUCUUGAAAAGGUACCAUAUAAUCAUGAUCUCCACUGUUAAAUUAAACAUAAAAAGGAAAAACUUCCAUUAUAUAUAUUCAUGAAAUAAGUUGUUUCACUAUAAACUAAUAUACCAAUUAUCUUUAAAUAUAAAAACUGAAGAGUAAUUGGGAACCUGGAUUUAAAAGAUCAUUAAUAAUAUAAUAGUUUGUGUUUGGUACGAAUAAGUCCUUUGACCUUUUGGCAUUACCAUUGAAAAUAUUUAAUAACAUUCUUUUCAGUUCAAUUUAUUGAUGGGUUUGAUUUUUUAUACACUUUUAAAUUCGGAUAUCAUGCGAGUUAGAAUUAUAAUCAUUAGUUGAUAAUAACGGUAAUCUAAAGCUAAAUAUAUAAAGUUAAAACAGACACAAACAUAACAAUGAAUAUUAAUUACCUGUAUAUAAGUGAUCAAUAGCCUUUAGUGUUUAGAUUUGCAUGAUAUGGUACAACAUUAUGUACCGUCAAAGUGUAGUUGUGAUGAGAGCCUUCACUUAUAUCUCUUCUACAUGUUAUCCAGCUUUCUAUAAUUCCCUGCAAAGAGUAAAAUCACAAGUAAAAUUAUCAUUUUAUUUAGAAAAACAAUUCUAAUUAGAUAAACACUCCUAUAUUUGUCUUUAUUUUUUUUGUAAGUAUGUAAUUAUGACGUAAUUACACCAAAAACAUGUAUUUGAAUAAUUAUAUUUUCGUCUUUAUUUUUUUAAGUAUGCAAUUAAGGCGUAAUUACACCAAAUACUUAUAUCUGGAUGACUUUAUCUUCGUCUGCAUUUUUUUCUAAGUAUGUUAUCUAUGCAUAGAUAUUCUGGAUACAUCACAAAAUUGGUAUCAGAUAGAUGUAUUUAUGCACAGAUAUACUAGUAUCAUCACAAAUACAUUGAAAACAUCAAUACAUUUUUAUACUAAAUAUACUAGAUAAAUUUGAUAUACACAGAUACAUUGAAUACAUCAAUGCAUAUUAAAUACUGAAUAUAUGAAUACAUGAAAGUGUGAUAUAUAAAUACAUUAUGAAACAUAAAUACAAGAAACUAGAGGGAUGAAAGAGGCGGACGAUAGAGGAGAGAGAUGAGAUACAUUUACUAGAUACAGUGUAUCUAGAGACAACUCAAACAAGAUUCAUAAUAAUUGAAUGCAUUAAGUAAUUAGCACCUAUAUUGGUGUACUUUAUGAAAGUUUAUUUUUUAUUUAUUGAUUCUUACGAGGUGUAUCAAGUCAAUAUUAUAAGUAGUAUAUAUAUAUAUAUACACACACUUGUAAUCCACAUACCUUCCGAACAUGAAGAGCUUCUUGGACUUCAUGGUCAUUAGCCCAAUACCUCAUAGGCUUGCGCCAAUCAGACUGAAGUAAUUGAGAAAAAGUUUUUACGGUUAGUAGUAUCUUAUUUAUUCAUUUAAGUUAAAUACAGAGACAAUAAAUAUAAUAAUUUAUAUAUAUAGCCUAGGCCAUUAUCAAUCAUUUUCUUCACUUCUAUUUGUCGUAUUCUUUUUUUUUCAAAAUUUUUAGGAUAUAAUUUCUCAAUGGAUGAGGGUAGUUUUUUUUUAAUGUCAUUCAAUUUUUUUUUAACCAAAAGUCAAUUAAUUAAUUAUAGUAUAAAACAAAAUUGAGCAACUUUCUAAAAGAAUUCUCCGAAGUUAAGUGAUCAUCUAAGAUAUUUUUUUAGUGAUCAUCUAAGAUAUUAUCAUUUUUUCCUCUUUUUUUGUUUAGAAAUAUCUUUUAUUAUUAUUGAACAUUGUUAGUUGGGCAUCUAUUUCUCAUAUGUCGUUUCAUAUCGAGAAAAUUAGGAAUGUAUACCGUCAUUAACUACAACAAUAGAAUAGACUCCUAUGCUGAGAGUAUAUGGGUAUAGAGUCUAGCUAACCACCUCAACUUCCAUUCUGACAUGCUAUAAAUAUUAAAGUCACUUGACGGCAAAAAUAUGAGGUAUAAAAAAACUAAAAAAAAACUUACAUCACACUUAUCUUCACGUUGCAAGGAGAUGAGUUUAUCAUCAAGUAAUCUUCUUUCACUAGUCAUUUGAUACAUGUCUUUAGGAUCAUCAUCAUUUGUGCAAAAGGGUUUUAAUACGUGUUCCACAUUAAUGUUUCUUAUCAUCUGCAUAAUUAUAUUUUAAUUUAAUCACAUAAAAAUAAUUAAUAAUAUAUUAUCACACGUUAAACUAUAUCGAUUGAUAGUACUGUAAAACAAUACUUAUAACCUGUUUGAAAUUUCGAAAGUCAUUUGCACAUCCUGUAUUGUUGGGAUGUAUGUUUGUGUAUUCUCCUCUACAAUUCUUCUCUAAUGACUGUUAAGACAAAUUAAUAUUCAAAUUAACUUGAUAUGUCAAAUUCUAAAGUUAAUUAUAUAUAUUUUAGAAUAAUGUGGAAAGUAAUUAAAACAAAUUAAUUACUCUGUCCAUUCGCUAUUCUAUAAAAUCUUAUUUUGACAAAUAAAUCUCAACAAACAAAUUUUAAAAAAAGAUGGAGAAAAAAAUAAAAAAUAAUCUUGAAAUUUGAAUCUUUAACAAUUUUUUAUAAUUUUUUUAGCUCAAUUGGUGAAAAAAUUUGGUUCCAAAAAUAAACUCAAAAAUUUAAAUAGUCAUCCAAAUGCAUUUUAAUUUUUGAAAUCUAGCAUAUUCAUCAUUUAUUGAAAAGUUGACUUAAGAAAACAUUAAAUAACACUAAAAGGGUAAAGUUACUUAAUUUCUUAAUGCAAGUGCAAUCUAAAAAGAUGACAUAUAAAAAAGAACGGAGGGAGUAUAUACCUUUUGUUUUGGUCCGUAAGUUUUCUUUCUUCACUUUUUUUUUUUUUUUUUGGAAUUCAAAUUAUGUAAGUAUCUCAAAAUGUAUAUUUAUCAUCUAAAAAUAAGAAGAAAUUGUAACUUAUCGUAUAAUUUUGAGUAACUAUAUGUUAAUUGGGAAACAUUCAUGAAUUAAUUUAAUCCAAAUCUAACUAUAAAGAUUGAUCAAAUUUAACUUUUAAAAAGCAAAAACUAUAUCAUAAAUUAAAAUAUGACAUAAAAUAUAAUUUAAUUUUUAGUUUUUAAAGUUCAUACAAAAUUUAAAUAAAAUAAUCAAAUAAUAUAAAAUAAAGAGAGUACUAGAUUGUUUUAUUUGUUGCACAUAUUUUUCUCUACGUGGAUAAAAUAUAACCACACUACUUUAGUUUGAUAUUUUAGGUAUCCUCGGGUCCCGCAGGAGUAAUUAGUAAUUUUGCUGAAUUAAUGCAAGCUGGUUAGAUGUGUGAAAUAGAGGACUCGUACGUAUUUGUUAUUAUUGCUACAAUAAAGAGAUUAAAGUUUUGACAAAGACUAAACAACUAUCGAUCUGCCAUUAAUAGAGAAAUAAGAUAGCUAGCAAGAGAAGUAGAGAGAUAGAUUAUAGAUAUCUUCUGGAUCUGCCCAAGACUUUAGCAAUGGGUUUAAUAUAUUUGAGUUAAGAUAGAUAAAAGGUUGGACAUGAGUUUUAAUUUGGGAAUGACUCGUUUUUAAGAAAAAGGGGUACUUUGGGCUGAUUUGAGGCUUUUCGUCAAAUUACAGAUAUGAGCGACAAGUUUGUAAAUGGAGGGAUUUAAAUGACCACAUAGUAUAACUGAGGAUAAAACUAUCAAAGUUGUGGAAUAUGUUUUUAUUUGAACAUUCAAUUUGAAUUUUUUAAAGUGCAAAUCCUAAUACAAAUUAAAUGUGAAAUACAGUCUAAAGCUUUUACAAAUGAUUCAUUUAAUUCUGGUCCCAAAUGUAGUCUAUUCACUGUCUCCAAAUUAAUUACUCCCUCCGUUCCUUUUUAUAUGUCAUCCAUUUCUAUAAAUAGUUAGUUCAUAAUACUUGUCAUUUCAUAAAAUUAAUGCAUAAAUUAUCAUAUUCCUCCUAUUAUACCCUUGAUAGAGUAGUUAAUUAGUCUUGAAAAUAUAUACUUUGACCAACCUAGGAAAACUAAUAAGUAAUUAAUAUUCAUGGGAGUACUUCAUACAUUGAUUAAUUACUCUCUCCAUUUACUAUUCUAUAAAAUUUUAUUUUGACAAAGAAAUCUCAACAAACAAAUUAAAAAUAAAAGAUUGAGAAAAAAUAAAAAAUAAUCUUGAAAUUUGAAUCUUUAACAAAUUUUUAGCUCAAUUGGUGAAAAAAUUUGGCUCCAAAAAUAAACUCAAAAAUUUAAAUAUUCAUCCAAAUGCAUUUUCAUUUUUGAAAUCUAGCAUAUUCAUCAUUUAUUAUAGGGGUGUACAAAAUCGAACCGAAAACCGAACCAAAUCGCAAACCGAGUCAAACCGGAAAUAAACCCGACUAGUGGUUUGGUUUGACUUGGUUUGGUAUUGGAAAAAAAAAACUCGAUUAUAUUUGGGUUUGUUUGGUUUCAACUAAAAAAAAUCAACCCGAGACCAAACUAACCCAACAAUAUAUAAAUAAUUUUAAAAUUUUAUUUUAUACGUAAAAAUAUUUACUUUGAUAUAAUUUUUAAAUAUUUCUUCUACUUUUUCAUAGUUUUUAUCUUUUAAUAUAUUAUUUCAUGAUUGAAAGAUAGAAUUCUUAAUGACCCAAUAAAAAUUAUAGUCCAUAGAUAUUGGUAAUUAUAAUAAAGCUUAAAUCAAAAUCAAAUUAAUACUAAUGCAAAAAGAAAAUCAAUUCAACACUAAGAAUGAAAAUAAUAUUGAAUAUUUGUUCUUUGGUUUUACAUUGGUUUAGACAAUUNNNNNNNNNNNNNNNNNNNNNNNNNNNNNNNNNNNNNNNNNNNNNNNNNNNNNNNNNNNNNNNNNNNNNNNNNNNNNNNNNNNNNNNNNNNNNNNNNNNNNNNNNNNNNNNNNNNNNNNNNNNNNNNNNNNNNNNNNNNNNNNNNNNNNNNNNNNNNNNNNNNNNNNNNNNNNNNNNNNNNNNNNNNNNNNNNNNNNNNNNNNNNNNNNNNNNNNNNNNNNNNNNNNNNNNNNNNNNNNNNNNNNNNNNNNNNNNNNNNNNNNNNNNNNNNNNNNNNNNNNNNNNNNNNNNNNAUUAUUAUUAUUAUUUGGAUAUUUUAGUGUCAUUAAUCAUAUCAUAUUGUGUUAUAUUUUUAAGAAACAUCUUAGAUAGUUGUAUUUUAAUAGGACUAAAAAAAUAUUUGAAGUAUAAGUAAAUUAUACGUUUGUACGAAUACUUUACCGAAAAAAUCCAAAAAAAUCCGAGGUUGAAAAACCCGACUUUUAUUGGUUUGGUUUAUAAAUUCAAAAAUCCGACACAAAUGGUUUGGUUUGAUAUUUGAAAAACCCGAACCAACCCGACCAUGUACACCCCUAAUUUAUUAAAAAGUUGACUUAAGAAAACAUUAAAUAAGGGCAGAAGGGUAAAGUUACUUAAUUUCCUAAUGCAAGUGCAAUCUAAAAAAAUGACAUAUAAAAAGAUACGGAGGGAGUAUAUACCUUUUCUUUUGGUCCGUAAGUUUUCUUUCUUCACUUUUUUGUUUUUUGGAAUUCAAAUUGUGUAAAUAUCUCAAAAUGUAUAUUUUAUCAUCUAAAAAUAAGAAAUUGUAACUUAUCGUAUAAAUUUGAAUAACUAUAUGUUAAUUUGGAAACAUUCAUGAAUUAAUUUAAUCAAAUCUAACUUUAAAGAUUGAUCAAAUUUAACUUUUUAAAAAGCAAAAACUAUAUCAUAAAUUAAAAUAUUACAUACAAUUUAAUUUAAUUUAAUUUUUACUUUUUUAAAGUUCAUACAAAAAUUUAAAUAAAAUAAUCAAAUAAUAUAAAAUGAAGAGAGUACUGGAUUGUUUUAUUUGUUGCACAUAUUUUUCUCUACGUGGAUAAAAUAUAACCACACUACUUUAGUUUAAUAUUUUAGGUAUCCUCGGGUCCCGCAGGUGUAAUUAGUAAUUUUGCCGAAUUAAUGGGUCAUGCAAGCUAGUAAGAUGUGUGAAAUAGAGGACUCAUACACAUUUGUUAUUGUUGCUAUAAUCAAGAGAUUAAACUCUCGAAAAAGACUAAACAACUACCGAUAUGCCAUUAAUAGCGAGAUAAGAAAAAAUAUUUGAGAAAUAAACUUAAUUCUAAAAGAGAAAUGAAUUCACUAUCAAGAUAACUGGCAAGAGAAGUAGAGAGAUAGAUUAUAGAUAUCUUCUGGAUCUGCCCAAGACUUUAGCAAUGGGUUCAAUUUAUUUGGGUUAAGAUAGAUAAAAGGUCGGACAUGACUUUCAAUUUGGGAAUGACUCGUUUUUAAGAAAAACAGGUAAUUUGGGCUGAUUUGAGGCUUUUCCUCAAAUUAGAGAUAUGAGUGACAAGUUUGUAAAUGGAGGGAUUUAAAUGGUCACAUAGUAUAACGGAGGAUAAAACUAGCAAAGUUGUGGAAUAUCUUUGACCCUUCUCCUAUUAAAAUUAGCAAAAAUUAUCUAAAUACACAAUUUAUUUUAUCAUGUUCUCUAAAAUUUCCUAUCAUUUGUAAAAGUUACAAAAAUCUUUACUCUCUCCUAUUCUCGCAUACAUCGCUUUACGCGAUUUAUCGGUCAGAUACAUAUAUCACUUUACAUGAUGUAUCGGUCAGAUACAUCACUUGUGCUAUGUAUCAAGACGUUGAGUGAUGUAUUCGAAACUGAAACGCGAUGUAUCGGAAUAUUGAGGAUGUAUAAGCUGGGACACGAUGUAUCAUGGCGUUUUGGGAUGUAUUUGGAUUCCACCAAAUUUAAUUUUUUGUAAAUUCAAAAUAAGAGUAGGAAUAAGAUGUAAUUAGUUGUUAACAUAUUGAGAUUCGUGUAAAAUUCCUUUAAAAUUAUGCUAUAUUUGAUUGAAGUUUAUGAAUAUAUCUCAAACUCCAGUAGGAUAAAUUGAAAGCAAUUCAUCAAAGGCAAAGCAGGAAAAAAAGGAUUACACAUUCUACAGAAGAGUCAAAGCUGAAAAUAGUGAUGUUCCAAUGGCUUGCUUUUGGGCACUUGAUCCCAUAUAUACCUUUAAAAUACACUAUUAAAUAAUACAGGGGUAAAAGGUCCUCUAUAAAGUUUGAUAUUGUAACAACAAUUUCGGCCAAAAUUGAAGUAUUUUUCAGACCAUUUUCCCAAUUUAGAUUUAUUAUUUUGAUGGUCAAAUAUAUUUAAGUUUCGCUAAUAUUCUUGUAAAAUUCAUUAUAGAUGACCCAAUUUUUUCUUCAAAUACAAAAACUAAAUUAUAAUAUAUCCGAAAAAAAUAGUUUUAAAUUUUUUUCUUUACACUAAGGAAUGAAAGAAAAAAAAUAAAAUAAGAAUAAGAAACUCAAAUAAUGAUAAUCAAGAAGUCAAAAAAUAAUUUAUGUCCGAAAAAAAUUAUAACAUACCUUGAAAUUUGCUAGAAAAAUCAUAUAUCCCCCUAAAUGAUUUUUAAAAAAAAUCAAAAGUAAAAAAUAUAAAUUUAAAACUAUUUUUUUUCACUUCUGUUAAAUGAAGGGUAUAUGUGAGCCGUUUGUAUAACGGUAAGGGUAUAUAUGAGUCAUUUUCAUAACGAGGGGCAUAUCAGCUCCAAAUGGAAAAGUUGAGGGGUAUAUCGGACCCUUUUCCCUAGGUAGAUAUUAUUUAGUAGUAAAAGACUAUUUUACCCUUGUCCUCCUCCUCCUCAUGUUUCUAUAUAGUAGAAAUAAUAUACUCCCUCCGUUUUACAAAGAAUGACCUCAUUUCUUUUUUAGUCAAUUUAAAAAAAAAUGAUCUUUUUCUUUUUUUGGUAAUAUUUUAAUUUUAGCUUUCCAUGUGGCAUGUUUAAGGCCACAAGAUUAAAGGGAAAUUUUGUACAUUUGACAUAACUUUAAUUUAGGACCACAAAUUCAAAAGUCUUCUUUAUUUUUCUUAAACUUCGUGCCAAGUCAAAUUAGAUCAUUCUUUGUGAAACGGAGGGAGUAAUAGAUAGUAAGAUUGAAAUGAUAUAUAAAAAAAAGGGCUCACAUGCAUUACACAUGUUUAGAGGCUAUUAGUGAGAAAACAAGGUAAGGCCAAGUACAUAGUACAAUUUGUAUUGCUCAUUGUACAACUUUUCAUAGCCAUGGCCGUCCUUCCAUGGCUGUUCUAUAUAAUAUAAUAAAAGGCCAAACACAUAUAUAACCCUUCUAACUUGCCCUCAUUUUUCAUUUUGACACUCCAACUUAGCCUUGUUCCAUUUUAAUACUUAAACUCCAUUUUUUAUAUACCAUUUUAACACGAAAUACUAUUUUUAUGAUUUCUUUAUUUUUAUAUAUAUUCUUCAAUUGCAACUUCUUAUUUUAAAUCGACAUGUGUCAGUUAAUUUUAGUUUAAAAAAAUAAAAAUUAACAAAAAGUAAUUCUUUUUAAAAAAUAAUAAUUUCUUUUUAAGAGUUUUAUGUAUUUUUAUGUGAAAAAUAACCGAGUAUUUUUGUGUGAAAAAUAACUGACGAAAUUGUGUUUGUUUUCUUUCUUUAAAAUCACCGACAACCUAACAAAGUCAGUCGAGUUUUAACAUUGUUUAGUAGUGUUAUUAGCAAUGAACAAGAGUCUUUUUUACUCGUAUUGAAGAUGAGUUUUCUUAUUCGUAUUGAUUUAUAUUAAAAAUUAAAAGUGAGUAUUUGCGUUAAAUUUAGAUAGCCUAGAUGAUAAGAAAAAAUAAAUAAGUAGUGUUAUUUAAUUUAAUUGAAUGUUUAAGAAAGAAAAUCAAAGAACUUUCGUCAAUUUACUUUCAUGCAAAAAUACAGAGAAAUCUCAAAAAAUAAUAUUAUUGUUUGAAAUUUUUUAUGUUCGUUCGCGAAUGUUCAAUUUUUUUAUGAAAAUUAACAAAUACACGUCUAUUUUUUUAAAAUAAAAAAUUGCAAUUGAAGAACAUAAAUAAAUAAAAAAAUCAUGAAAAUUAGUAUUAUUGUUUAAAUGGUACAGAAAAAAUGGAGGUUAAGGGUUAAAAUGGAACAAGGCUAAGUUGGAGUGCCAAAAUGAAAAAUGAGGACAAGUUUGAGGGGUUGUGUAAGGAACCUUUCUGAACCAGUGGGUCCCACUCAGGGAUAACAUAUUGAUGGAUCUUUCGAGAUGAAAUAUGAAAUUAGAUUGUUAUAAAAUCGGAAUUUUACAUCAAAAUUAGAUUGGAAAAUAUCUAUCUAAUAAUUUGAGAUAGGAGAAAAAAAAGAUGACAGAGUUCAUACAAGAGUCAAAAAUGGAAAUAGUGAUGUUCCCAUGGCUUGCAUUUGAGCACUUUAAAGGGUCGUAGAUGGCUUAAGCCUAAAUACCCCCAAUUAUCCGCGGCCCCAUGCCCCCAAUUAUUUAAAAGUGAACUUAAAAAAAAAAAAUCAAUACCAGAAUUCAAUUACUCUCAAGGAGCAUAUCAUAUCCUCUUUGGGAUCAAUUUAACAUCUCAAAGGAGAAAAAAAAAGAUGAUAGAGUCCAUAGAAGAGUCAAAGAUGAAUAUAAUGAUGUUCCCAUGGCUUGGUUUUGGACACUUGGUCCCAUAUAUGACUCUGUCAAAUGAACUUGCAAAAAGAGGUCACAAAAUCUCAUUCUUGUUGCCCAAAAAUGCUGAAAUUAGACUUCAAAAACUCAAUCUUUAUCCAAAUCUCAUCAAAUUUCAUAAACUGACAAUACCUCAUGUUGAUGGCCUUCCAUAUGGAGCAAAGACUACAGCUGAUGUUCCUGAAUCCUUGGAGAGUCUAUUAGCAACAACUUUUGAUGAAUUGUAUGGUGAAAUCAAAUCUUUUCUUCAAAAUCUAAAACCCCAUUUUGUUUCUUUGAUUUUGCUUAUUGGAUUCCUGAUUUAGCACAAGAAAUUGGAGGUAUCAAGACUCUGUUUUACACUAUUUUUAGCCUGGCUGAAUUGUCUGUAUCACCGGAUAAGGCUACUUUUAUGGCAUCAACUGCAGCUGAUCUAGUAAAGCCACCACCAGAUUACCCUUCUACUACUGUGGUGUUGCGCGAAAGUGAAGCUAAGUUGUUAUCAUUUCUGUUUCAUGAAUAUGGAAAGGGGGUGACAUUUUACGAACGGGUGAAGAAGGGGAUGACAGGAUGCGAUGCAAUAGGUAUGAGAACAUGUAGAGAAAUUGAAGGAACCUUUUGUGACUACAUAGCAACACAUUCUGAAAAGCCCGUCCUUUACACAGGACCUGUCUUUCCAAGCCGAAAAAUGAGCCUUUAGAAGAACACGGAUUAUCAAAUUGGCUCGAGAAAUUCGAGCCAGGAUCAGUAGUGUUCUGUGCAUUUGGGAGCCAAAUGAUUCUUGAAAAGAAACAGUUUCAAGAACUCGUUUUAUGGUUUGAACUGACUGAAUUACCAUUUCUAUUAGUUGUUAAGCCACUCAAGGGACAAAUUCAAUAGAAGAAGCGUUGCCGGAGGGAUUCAAAGAAAGGGUUCAAGAAAAGGGAUUGAUUCUUGAUUGUUGGGUGCCACAAUUGGAGAUUUUAAGUCACAAAUCAGUUGGUUGUUUUGUGACUCACUGUGGUUAUGGGUCGAUGUGUGAGUCUAUUGUUGGGUUUAUGAUUAACCUGAAUACAUGAGAUAACAUCUUUGGCGCUGUGUGAUUGUCAAUUGGUACUUUUGCCAAGACCUUUUGAACACACUUUAAUUGCUAGGCUUAUGGAACAACAACUUAAGGUUGGCGACUUGGCGUAGAAGUUGAGAAAGAUGAAAACGAUUUGUUUACGAAAGAGAAUUUUUGCAAGUCUGUGAAAUGUGUGAUGGAUAAAGAUAGCCAAAUUGGUUGUCAUGCGAAAGAAAAUCAUAGGAAAUGGAAGGACCUUAUUUCAAGUACUGGCUUCAUGACUAACUAUAUUGACAACUUUGUUGACAACUUGCAUGCACUUCUUGUUGAAAACACCUAGAUUAGCGGGAAGGUUAAUAGGUAUGAAUAAUUCAUGUACAAUCAAUGGUUAUCUUGUUUUGAAAUUCUGAAUUCAUAAAUUUAAAAUCUUAUAUUUGAAUAAAUAUAUUAUACUAAUAUUUUCAUAAAUAUAAUGAUCAUCUAAUAUUGAUCUUUUUAAUUAAAAGUUCAGUUUAGUCUUUUGAUUACAUCGGAAUUUUAAGUUUUUUUUGUAUCUUGGAUAUUUUAAUGUAGUUAUUUAAGAGUUAUACAGCUUCCUUCAAAUUUAGUGUUAUUUUUUACUACCUCAAGAAAAAUACUAUCCAGAGUUAGUGAUACAUUUGUUAUAUCUUAUAACAUGUAUUGUGUUAGUAAUGCUCCAACCUAGUAUGAUUAAGUUAUUUUCUGAACCACUUAAGUUACUAUGAACUUAGAAAUAUUUUAGACCCCAAGGUAUUGAUAGCAAAAUAUUAGGCGAAUUGAAAUGGUCAAUUAUAUAAAUUAUUCAAAGUUUAAUAGAAUUAUUGUAUUUUUUUUUCAUAUUUACUUUUCAUUUAAUGAGAUUUUUAACUAUUUUACAUUUUCUAUCCUAACAUGAUGAGAUAUAGGCCCUCUAAAAUAUGUGUUGGUGAGAAAUCCAAUGUUUCAGUUCCUUGGAAAUGGACGAUAGAUAAAGAUUUUUAAAAAUGUUAUAAAAACUUUGACUAUAUAGUAUAAUAUGUUAGAUGAUGUGCUAAAUAAUUUAAACUAAUAAAUUUUAUUAGAUAUAUUUAUGUUAUUUGAAUUUUAAGAGCACUAUAUAUUGAUAAUGCAUCUUCACAUAAAAUUCAUGAAUUUACUCAUUUUAUAGGAUACCUACCACUUAGGUUAUCUAAUAAUAAAUGUAUCGUGAGCCAAACUCCCCACUUGACUAUACUUUUCAUCGAUCCGAUAAUCGUUUGUGAUGAAUUCUCAUAAAGCAUGUAGAUAAACUUCACUCUAUACAUUUUACAAAUAGCAGAAGAAAAAAUUGUCAUAACUAAAGCAAAUAUUAUUAAUAAUUUUUUUAAAAUAAUAACAUAAUAUCUUAUGUAUUCAAUAUUCAAUAGCAUGAUAAUGUUUUCAAAGAUACGGUGAAUUAGGGGUGUACAUGGCCGGGUUGGUUCGGGUUUUUCAAAUAUCAAACCAAACCAUUUAGGUCGGAUUUUUAAAUUUAUAAACCAAACCAAACCAAUAAAACUCGGGUUUUUCAACCUCGGGUUUUUUCGGGUUUUUCGGUUUUUCGGGUUUUUCCGGUAAAGUAUUCAUACACAACAUAUAAUUUACUUGUACUUCAAAUAUUUCUUUAGUCCUACCAAAAUACAACUAUCUAAGAUGUUUCUUAAAAAUAUAACACAAUAUAAUAUGAUUAAUGACACUAAAAUAUCCAACAAAAAUAAUAAUAAUGAAAUCGCGUAAAACAAAUAUUGCAAAUUAACAAGUCAUAAUGAAAAUGAUCAUAAUUUAAAAGUACUAAAUCAUGCUAAAAUUAAGUUUAAUAAGUAUUAGUUACAUGACUAAAUAUUAAAGAAAAUUAAAAUUAGAUUAUGUAUUUUAAUUGUCUAAACCAAUGUAAAACUAAAGAACAAAUAUUCAAUAUUAUUGUCAUUCUUAGUGUUGAAUUGAUUUUCUUUUUGCAUUAGUAUUAAUUUGAUUUAGAUUUAAGCUUUAUUAUAAUUACCAACAUCUGUGAACUAUAAUCUUUAUUGAACCAUUUAGAAUUCUAACUCAAACUUGAAAUAAUAAUAUAUGAAAAGAUAAAAACUAUGAAAAAGUAUAAGAAAGAUUUAAAAAUUAUUUCAAAGUAAAUAUUUUUAUGUAUAAAAUAAAAUUUUAAAAUUAUAUAUAUAAUGUCGGGUUGAUUUGGUCUCGGGUUGGUUUUUUUUAGUUAAAACCAAACCAACCCAAAUAUAGUCGGAUUUUUUUUAUAUAAAUUCGGGUUGGUUUGGUCUCGGGUUGGUUUUUUUUAGUUAAAACCAAACCAACCCAAAUAUAGUCGGGUUUUAUUUUUCAAAACCAAACCAAGUCAAACCAAACCACUAGUCGGGUUUUUUUUCCGGGUUGACUCAGUUUGCGGUUUGGUUCGGUUCUCGGUUCGGUUUUGUACACCCCUACGGUGAAUGAUAAAUUGACCUCAGUUUAUUAGUCUUUUUUAAAAAGUGAGAAAAUAUAUAAGAUAAUAUAAAGGAUAUUUAUAAAGGAUCGUGACUAUUCCAUCUUUUGAACAUAACAAAACAUUCUUCAGGCUUGUAGGAACUAAUUGUGUGUCCUGCUUCCUAUUAAAAAAAACAAAUAAAGUAAAAAUAUAAUAAUCAAAAGCUCUUAAAAAAAUUCAAUUUAGCUAAAUUGAGAUAAAUUAACUUAUAUAGUGUAAAAUUAGUGGCACAAUUAAUUUUAAAUACCUUCACGGUUGCACAAGUCAUUUAGUUGGAGUAAGAUCUUGUAUAACUACAAUGAUACGAUAUUAGAAAAAUGAUUAAGUAUUAUCAACUAACUUAAUGAUUAGUUUUAAUUAAAAAUUCAUAAUUGUAAUUAAGGAUGUUAAAUUUGGAGAUUAAUCACUCAGCAACUUGAUUAUUUACGUUCCAUGGAUGCCAAUCAUCAUCAAUAGAGUAGUUUAGAGACUUUAUCCAUGUUUGUGUGUCUUGAAAAGGUACUAUAUAAUCAUGAUCUCCACUGUUAAAUUAAACAUGAAAAAAAAAACUUCCAUUAUAUAUAUAUAUAUAUAUUCAUGAAAUAAGUUGUUUCUGUUGGAAAGCUAUAUUUGAUGAUAAGGAACGAAUGGACCUCCUUUAAAGUUUUAUGACACAUAUUUGUGAACAAUUAAAUCCCAUAUCUCCAAAGACAAAUAUGUGCACAAAAUUGAAAGAGAGGUAGCAUUUCGUCAAAGGCAAAAGAGUAAAAAAGAUGACAGAGUCCAUAGAAGAGUCAAAACUGGAAAUAGUGAUGUUCCCAUGGCUUGCUUUUGGUCACUUAAUCCCAUACAUGAAUCUGUCAAAUGAACUUGCAAAAAGAGGUCACAAAAUCUCAUUCUUGUUGCCCAAAAAUGCUGAAGUUAGACUUCAAAAACUCAAUCUUUACCCAAAUCUCAUCACAUUACAUAAACUGACAAUGCCUCACGUUCAUGGCCUUCCAUAUGGAGCAGAGACUACAGCUGAUGUUCCUGGAUCCUUGGAGAGUCUAUUAGCAACAGCUUUUGAUGAAUUGUAUGAUGAAAUCAAAUCUUUUCUUCAAAAUCUAAAACCCCAUUUCGUUUUCUUUGAUUUUGCUUAUUGGAUUCCUGAUUUAGCACUAGAAAUUGGGGGUAUCAAGACUCUAUGUUACAAAGUUGUUUGCCCUGCUAUAUCAUCUAUAGCAUUGAUUCGAUCACCGGUUAAGACUACAUUUAUGGCAUCAACUGCAGCUGAGCUAGUAAAGCCACCACCAGAUUACCCUUCUACUACUGUGGUGUUGCGUGAAAGUGAAGCUAAGUUGUUAUCAUUUCUAUUUCAUGAAUAUGGCAAGGGGGUGACAUUUUACGAACGAUCCAAGAAGGGAAUGACAGGAUGCAACGCAAUAGGUGUGAAAACAUGUAGAGAGAUUGAAGGAACCUUUUGUGACUACAUAGCAACACAAUUUGAAAAGCCAGUCCUGUACACAGGGCCUGUUCUUGCUGAACCGACAAAGGGGCCUUUAGAAGAACAUGGAUUAUCGGAUUGGCUCGAGAAAUUCGAGGCAGGAUCAGUAGUGUUCUGUGCAUUUAGGAGCCAAAUGAUUCUUGAAAAGAAACAGUUUCAACAACUUGUUUUAGGCUUUGAACUGACUGAGUUACCAUUUCUUUUAGUUGUUAAGCCACCUGAAGGGACAAAUUCAGUAGAAGAAGCCUUGCCGGAGGGAUUCAAAGAAAGGGUUCAAGAAAAAGGAUUGAUUCUUGAUUGUUGGGUGCCACAAUUGGAGAUUUUAAGUCACAAAUCAGUUGGUUGUUUUGUGACUCACUGUGGUUAUGGGUCGAUGUGGGAGUCUUUGGCACUGUGUGAUUGUCAAUUGGUACUUUUGCCAAGGCCUAUUGAUCACAUNNNNNNNNNNNNNNNNNNNNNNNNNNNNNNNNNNNNNNNNNNNNNNNNNNNNNNNNNNNNNNNNNNNNNNNNNNNNNNNNNNNNNNNNNNNNNNNNNNNNNNNNNNNNNNNNNNNNNNNNNNNNNNNNNNNNNNNNNNNNNNNNNNNNNNNNNNNNNNNNNNNNNNNNNNNNNNNNNNNNNNNNNNNNNNNNNNNNNNNNNNNNNNNNNNNNNNNNNNNNNNNNNNNNNNNNNNNNNNNNCUCUUUAAAUAUAACUCAAUCUGGCUAAAUUGAUAUACAUGAAUUGCUUCUCAAUUUUCAUGUAACUUGUUUCUAAAAUUAAUUUCAUACCUUCACUGUUGCAUAAGUCAUUUUGUUGGAGUAAGAUCUCGUAUAACUACAAUGAUACGAUAUUAGAAAAAUGAUUUAAGUAUUAUCAACUAACAUACUAAUUAGUUUUAAUUAAAAAAUCAUAAUUGUAAUUAAGGAUGUAAAAUUUGGAGAUUAAUUACCCAGCAACUUGAUUGUUUACGUUCCAUUGACGCCAAUCAUCAUCAAUAGAGUAGUUUAGAGACUUUAUCCAUGUUUGUGUGUCUUGAAAAGGUACCAUAUAAUCAUGAUCUCCACUGUUAAAUUAAACAUAAAAAGAAAAAACUUCCAUUAUAUAUAUAUUCAUGAAAUAAGUUGUUAUCUGUUGGAAAGCUAUAUUUGAUGAUAAGGAAGGAACCAAUGGACCUCCUUUAAAGUUUUAUGACACAUUUGUGAACAAUUAAAUCCCAUAUCUCCAAAUACAAAUAUGUGCACAAAAUUGAAAGAGAGGUAGCCAAAUUGGUCGUCUUGUGAAAGAGAAUCAUAAGAAAUGGAAGGAACUUCUUUCGAGUCCUGGCUUCAUGAGUAACUACAUUGAUAACUUCAUUCAAGACUUGCAUGGGCUUCUAGUUGAAAAGACUAGAUAAUUAGCAGAAUGAAUCUAAUGUUGAAGUUACGAGGUUGACAGAAUUCAGUGAAUUGUGUUGAGAAAUUUUGCUUAAUAUGUAUGAAUCUAUAGACUCAAAACUGUCUAUCUAGUGAUGUAACUUGCAUUAUUCGAAUGUUUUCAUGCCAUGUUUAGGAGUUAUACACCUUCAUCUCAAAUUUGGAGUUUUUUUUUUAAGAUAACAUUUUUACCUCUAAAUGCACUUUCUGAACACUCAAAGGAGUCUAGGAAAAAGGACCAUAAAUAUUAUGUCUAAAUUUUAUUAUUAGCAUAGAAGAGUUUAAUCCAUUAGGUGCAUUACAAGAUUUUAAUCCCAUCUUCAGCCCCUCUUCCAAAAGACAUGUAAAACCAGAACAGGGGAAGAUUUUGUUCACAAACAUCUAAAGUUGGUAAAGUUAAGAAAAUAUUAUUUUCAGUAAAAUAAAAUAAAAUAGAGAGAAGAUAUAUAGAUGAAGUUGAGGACUAUUUAUAAAGGAUCAUAAUUUAUCCAUCUUUUGAACAUAACAAAACAUUCUUCAGGUUUGUCUGUACAAGCUGUGUGUCCUGAUCCCUAUUAAACAAAAAUAAAAAUAAAUGCAAAGUUAAAUACAAAUAUAAAAUAAAAAUAAAGCUCUUUAAAUAUAACUCAAUCUGGCUAAAUUGACACAAUAAUUACUUCUCAAUUUUCAUGUAAUUAACUUAUUUCUAAAAUUAAUUUCAUACCUUCACUGUUGCGUAAGUCAUUUUGUUGGAGUAAGAUCUCGUAUAACUACAAUGAUACGAUAUUAGAAAAAUGAUUUAAGUAUUAUCAACUAACAUACUAAUUAGUUUUAAUUAAAAAAUCAUAAUUGUAAUUAAGGAUGUAAAAUUUGGAGAUUAAUUACCCAGCAACUUGAUUGUUUACGUUCCAUUGACGCCAAUCAUCAUCAAUAGAGUAGUUUAGAGACUUUAUCCAUGUUUGUGUGUCUUGAAAAGGUACCAUAUAAUCAUGAUCUCCACUGUUAAAUUAAACAUAAAAAGAAAAAACUUCCAUUAUAUAUAUAUUCAUGAAAUAAGUUGUUAUCUGUUGGAAAGCUAUAUUUGAUGAUAAGGAAGGAACCAAUGGACCUCCUUUAAAGUUUUAUGACACAUUUGUGAACAAUUAAAUCCCAUAUCUCCAAAUACAAAUAUGUGCACAAAAUUGAAAGAGAGGUAGCCAAAUUGGUCGUCUUGUGAAAGAGAAUCAUAAGAAAUGGAAGGAACUUCUUUCGAGUCCUGGCUUCAUGAGUAACUACAUUGAUAACUUCAUUCAAGACUUGCAUGGGCUUCUAGUUGAAAAGACUAGAUAAUUAGCAGAAUGAAUCUAAUGUUGAAGUUACGAGGUUGACAGAAUUCAGUGAAUUGUGUUGAGAAAUUUUGCUUAAUAUGUAUGAAUCUAUAGACUCAAAACUGUCUAUCUAGUGAUGUAACUUGCAUUAUUCGAAUGUUUUCAUGCCAUGUUUAGGAGUUAUACACCUUCAUCUCAAAUUUGGAGUUUUUUUUUUAAGAUAACAUUUUUACCUCUAAAUGCACUUUCUGAACACUCAAAGGAGUCUAGGAAAAAGGACCAUAAAUAUUAUGUCUAAAUUUUAUUAUUAGCAUAGAAGAGUUUAAUCCAUUAGGUGCAUUACAAGAUUUUAAUCCCAUCUUCAGCCCCUCUUCCAAAAGACAUGUAAAACCAGAACAGGGGAAGAUUUUGUUCACAAACAUCUAAAGUUGGUAAAGUUAAGAAAAUAUUAUUUUCAGUAAAAUAAAAUAAAAUAGAGAGAAGAUAUAUAGAUGAAGUUGAGGACUAUUUAUAAAGGAUCAUAAUUUAUCCAUCUUUUGAACAUAACAAAACAUUCUUCAGGUUUGUCUGUACAAGCUGUGUGUCCUGAUCCCUAUUAAACAAAAAUAAAAAUAAAUGCAAAGUUAAAUACAAAUAUAAAAUAAAAAUAAAGCUCUUUAAAUAUAACUCAAUCUGGCUAAAUUGACACAAUAAUUACUUCUCAAUUUUCAUGUAAUUAACUUAUUUCUAAAAUUAAUUUCAUACCUUCACUGUUGCGUAAGUCAUUUUGUUGGAGUAAGAUCUCAUAUAACUACAAUGAUACGAUAUUAGAAAAAUGAUUUAAGUAUUAUCAACUAACAUACUAAUUAGUUUUAAUUAAAAAAUCAUAAUUGUAAUUAAGGAUGUAAAAUUUGGAGAUUAAUUACCCAGCAACUUGAUUGUUUACGUUCCAUUGACGCCAAUCAUCAUCAAUAGAGUAGUUUAGAGACUUUAUCCAUCGUUUGUGUGUCUUGAAAAGGUACCAUAUAAUCAUGAUCUCCACUGUUAAAUUAAACAUAAAAAAAAACUUUCAUUAUAUAUAUUCAUGAAAUAAGUUGUUUCACUAUAAACUAAUAUGCCAAUUAUCUUUAAAUAUUAAAAACUGAAGAGUAAUUGGGAACCUGGAUUUAAAAGAUCAUUAAUAAUAUAAUAGUUUGUGUUUGGUACGAAUAAGUCCUUUGGCCUUUUGGCAUUAUCAUUGAAAAUAUUUAAUAACAUUCUUUUCAGUUUAAUUUAUUGAUGGGUUUGAUUUUUUAUACACUUCCAAAUUCGGAUAUCAUGUGAGUUAGAAUUAUAAUUAUUAGUUGACAAUAACUAUAAUCUCAAGUCAAAUAUAUAAAGUUAAAACAGACACAAACGUAACAAUGAAUAUUAAUUACUUGUAUAUAAGUGAUCGAUAGCCUUUAGUGCUUAGAUUUGCAUGAUAUGGUACAACAUUAUGUACCGUCAAAGUGUAGUUGUGAUGAGGGCCUUCACUUAUAUCUCUUCUACAUUUUAUCCAGCUUUCUAUAAUUCCCUGCAAAGAGUAAAAUCACAAGUAAAAUUAUCAUUUUAUUUUUAAAAAAAAUCUAAUUAGACAAACACUCUUAUAUUUGUCUUUAUUUUUUAUUGUAAGUAUGUAAUUAGGACGUAAUUCCACCAAAUACAUGUAUUUGAAUAACUAUAUUAUCGUCUUAAUAUUUUUAAGUGUGUAAUUACGGCGUAAUUACACCGGAUACUUAUAACUGGAUGACUAUAUCUUCGUUUGCAUUUUUUUCUAAGUAUGUUAUUUAUGCAUAGAUAUCCUGGAUACAUCACAAAAUUGAUACCAGAUAGGUGUAUUUUUGCACAAAUAUACUAGUAUCAUCACAGAUACAGUGAAAACAUCAAUGCAUUUUUAUACUAAAUAUACUAGAUAAAUUUGAUAUACCCAGAUACAUUGAAUAUAUCAGUGCAUAUUAAAUACUGAAUAUAUGAAUACAUGAAAGUGUGAAAUAUAAAUACAUUAUGAAACAUAAAUACAAAAAACUAGAGGGAUGAGAGAGGCGGACGAUAGAGGAGUGAGAUAAGAUACAUUCAUUAGAUACAAUGUAUCUAGAGACAACUCGAACAAGAUUCAUAAUUAUUGAAUGCAUUGAUGAGUAAUUAGCACAUGUACUAGUGUACUUUAUGAAAGUUUAUUUUUUAUUUAUUGAUUCUUACGAGGUGUAUCAAGUCAAU
This 42863-nucleotide long non-coding RNA is filed under the name Solanum tuberosum (potato). RNAcentral's name for it is "long non-coding RNA (STUB_LNC005228)". The record is from RNAcentral. Lineage: Eukaryota; Viridiplantae; Streptophyta; Magnoliopsida; Solanales; Solanaceae.